UUCCAAAGUGUUGAGUUCAGUUCAGGGCAGUUCCCUGUUCUGUUAAUUAAACUUUGGGACAUUGAAACACAGGCUAGGGGAGAUGACCGGAUAGAAAACGUUGUUCUAUUCACUUACCUCCCAGCCUACAAAA
Myotis lucifugus (little brown bat) is the source of this 133-nucleotide small nucleolar RNA. Lineage: Eukaryota; Metazoa; Chordata; Mammalia; Chiroptera; Vespertilionidae. The record is from Ensembl.